UAGGCUUAGGCUUAGGCUUAAGCUUAGGCUUAGGCUUAGGCUUAGGCUUAGGCUUAGGCUUAGGCUUAGGCUUAGGCUUAGGCUC
Molecule: non-coding RNA, 85 nt
Organism: Caenorhabditis elegans
Lineage: Eukaryota; Metazoa; Nematoda; Chromadorea; Rhabditida; Rhabditidae
Source: Ensembl